GCUCUACGAAAUUUAAUAUCGACAAACUCUGACAUCACGGAAAUAAAGUAUGUUUCGCGUGCUUUGCGCGAUAAGCUGCGUGACAAUAACAAGAACACUAAGACGGCUAUCUUUAAAACGAGGAACGGGGAAUGGGGGAAGGGAACGGGGAAGGGAACGGGGAAGGGAACGGGGAAGGGAACGGGGAAGGGAACGGGGAAGGGAACGGGGAAGGGAACGGGGAAGGGAAUGAGCGGGGAAUGGCCGGGGAAUGAGCGGGGAAUGGCCGGGGAAUGAGCGGGGAAUGGCCGGGGAAUGAGCGGGGAAUGGUCGGGGAAUGGUCGGGGAAUGGCCGGGGAAUGGCCGAAAUCGGGAAAAAAACUAACAUUUUGAAGAUUUUUGAUUAAAUAUUUUCAUGAAUUGUUUUCGUUGCGUUAUGGCAAAUGUAGCAUUGAAGUAAAUCGAAAUUACAGUAAUAGGAUUAGGCGACCGAAGCUAUGUUGUUUGUGUAAAUGUCGUCAAGUUCGUUUCGUUUCGUUGCGUUAUGGCAAGUAAUCAGCCGGACCGCACAUUGUAAGUAUAUACAACGCAAGACAAUAGACCUUGUUAUAUAGUUUUUGUCAAAGUUCAAUUUCUCUGUUCGACGAUUGAUCAAAACCGUAUCACGUAACAAUAGAGAGGUUUAAGAUACCCCGAAAGCACCACUGCCAAUUUCUUCAACAUGUUCUAGUGAUUCCCAACUAAAUGUGGGUAAACAGUGAUCUAUUUUUCGCCUUUUUAUUAGUGAAGGAAAUUUAAAGCUUCCCUGUACUCCAGAC
Molecule: non-coding RNA, 797 nt
Organism: Paramuricea clavata
Lineage: Eukaryota; Metazoa; Cnidaria; Anthozoa; Malacalcyonacea; Plexauridae
Source: the annotation of a GenBank genome assembly